GAUAAGUUGGCAGAUUAAUGCCACCGACUUAGGAUCGGUUCAUGGAUAUUAUCCACUUAUUAA
RNAcentral lists this transfer RNA (63 nucleotides) under Eisenia tracta. RNAcentral's name for it is "tRNA-Leu". The record is from RNAcentral. Lineage: Eukaryota; Metazoa; Annelida; Clitellata; Crassiclitellata; Lumbricidae.